GGAGACCGAGGAGGAGGGAAGACGAGGCCCGAGUGCCGCUGCCGGGGUGCCCCGGUGGUGCCCCGCGCCGCUAUAGCGGCGGCUGGGGGCGGGAGAGAGGCGGCUGCGGGGUAGAGGAGGAGGAACUGGGACGCGAUUGCAGGGGCGGCCGCACAGCUGCUGGAGGGCGUGGUUUCCUGCCCAACCAUGAGAUGCCAGAAUAUUGCUUGGCUGAAACAGCUUCGCAGCGAGAGGCUCGUGAGCGCCUGCUCUCCUACAUCCAUUUUUCUCCCAUCCAGUCAAGAGGCCUUAGUCUGGUGGCAGUAAAAAGGGGACUUCAGCGAGGGCUGUAAGGUGAGCAUCUUUGGGAACUGACAGCGUGAUGCCCUGCGCUCCCAUUUGUCUGUGAGGAGCCCUUGCCUGGGCCCAGGCACACUGAGCUCCAUCCGGAUGUACUGUGGCCCGGCAGAGGAGCCCGGCUCUUGGUUCUCUCUUCUUCC
This 479-nucleotide long non-coding RNA is filed under the name Meleagris gallopavo (turkey). RNAcentral describes it as "lncRNA (ENSMGAG00000018729.1)". Lineage: Eukaryota; Metazoa; Chordata; Aves; Galliformes; Phasianidae. The record is from RNAcentral.